Molecule: transfer RNA, 73 nt
Filed under: Pteropus alecto (black flying fox)
Lineage: Eukaryota; Metazoa; Chordata; Mammalia; Chiroptera; Pteropodidae
Rfam family: tRNA
About the family: Transfer RNA (tRNA) molecules are approximately 80 nucleotides in length. Their secondary structure includes four short double-helical elements and three loops (D, anti-codon, and T loops). Further hydrogen bonds mediate the characteristic L-shaped molecular structure. tRNAs have two regions of fundamental functional importance: the anti-codon, which is responsible for specific mRNA codon recognition, and the 3' end, to which the tRNAs corresponding amino acid is attached (by aminoacyl-tRNA synthetases). tRNAs cope with the degeneracy of the genetic code in two manners: having more than one tRNA (with a specific anti-codon) for a particular amino acid; and 'wobble' base-pairing, i.e. permitting non-standard base-pairing at the 3rd anti-codon position.
Source: Rfam by way of RNAcentral
GAUUCCAUAGUGUAGCGGUUAGCACAUCUGCUUUACACGCAGAAGGUCCUGGGUUCGUGCCCCAGUGGAGCCA